UAGGUGUUUUUUGUCCCUCACGAUUUGAAGAUGUGAAGUCUGCAAUUGGUUAGUGAGACAUGAUUUUACUAUUUAUAAAUAACUAUAUUUUUCUAUAAUUUUUUUAAUAAAGUUAAAAGCCAUAAGUUGUUCCAAAAGCUUCCGCAGUUGAUUAUUGGGUUAAAUAUGUUAGAAUUUCUUUGAUUGGUGUAGGAACUGUGUAUACAUAUUUUCUUUGAUUCUGGAAAAUUUGAGUUGAAAUUGAAUUGUCUAGAGGUCAUAAGCUGUUAGUAAGCUGUUUUGGGAAUUUUGCCUUAAAUGACUAAGUUGUGGAUUAAUCUGCUGUAUAAUGUGGAUUACUCUUAUUUAUGAUUUAAUGGGUUGGAUUUUGAUAUUAGGGGUUCGUUUAAAAGCUUUCUCGCUUUCUCCUUUGUCAAUUUUUGGUUUUGGUAAGCUUUCUCCUUUCUCCUGUAAUUUGUUUUUUUUAUUAUUAUUAGUUUUUUAGCGUACAAGGUUGGUGAAUUUUGAUAUUUCAUGCUAUUUGUUUAUUAUAGUAAAAUGAUUUGCAUCGUGGAUUGAAAUGUUGGAAUAUGUACUUGGCAUGAAUGUAGAGAAACUUGAGCCAUUUUAGAUUUACUUAUUUAAGUUUUUUUAUUGACAUAAACUUUGUGAGAUUGUAAGGGAGAACUUAUGACAUUUUUCAUAAAAUUUUUCCAACUUAUUUCAUAAGUGGUCCAAGCUUAGCUUACAUAAACAGCUUAUAACAUAUACAAAAACAAGUUUAUUUUUACACAUACAAGCUUUGUGCUAUAAGUUGGAAAUAAGUUGUUUAUCGUAUUCCGGCGUACUUGUACUAUGAGUGGCGGUGGAAUCCAAUUAGUUGUCUUUGUAGAUGAGGAAAGAAGAGCCAGAGAUGGGGAAUUUGAUUUUUCUGGUGGUUUUUGUUAUCUCUGUCGUGGACUGUGUUGUUUGUGCGGUUUGUCCUAGUUGCUAAGGCGCUCUGUGGUACUGCUUGUUUUCUUUUCUUCACCUGUGGUGUCCCCUUCUUUCGCUGAUACAAGGAGGGGCUGUUUGCUCGCUAGCUUAUCUCCUAUAGCUGCUGAUACAAGGAGGGGCUGUUACGGCGUGCUGAUUUGUUCUUUUUGUAACUAGUUCUUUUGUUUAUUCUGAUAGAUAGUUGCUUCUAGUGAGGACAUAAUUUGUUGCUUAAGAUUCUCA
This 1197-nucleotide long non-coding RNA is filed under the name Medicago truncatula (barrel medic). RNAcentral describes it as "long non-coding RNA (MTRU_LNC006939)". Lineage: Eukaryota; Viridiplantae; Streptophyta; Magnoliopsida; Fabales; Fabaceae. The record is from RNAcentral.